CAGCCGCCGCGGUAAUACAGAGGGUGCGAGCGUUAAUCGGAUUUACUGGGCGUAAAGCGUGCGUAGGCGGCUUCUUAAGUCGGAUGUGAAAUCCCUGAGCUUAACUUAGGAAUUGCAUUCGAUACUGGGAAGCUAGAGUAUGGGAGAGGAUGGUAGAAUUCCAGGUGUAGCGGUGAAAUGCGUAGAGAUCUGGAGGAAUACCGAUGGCGAAGGCAGCCAUUUGGCCUAAUACUGACGCUGAGGUACGAAAGCAUGGGGAGCAAACAGGAUUAGAUACCCCGGUAGUCCCUGUCUCUUAUAC
Molecule: ribosomal RNA, 301 nt
Filed under: uncultured bacterium
Lineage: Bacteria
Description: partial 16S ribosomal RNA
Rfam family: Bacterial small subunit ribosomal RNA
Source: RNAcentral